GAUUGGCUCAGGACGAACGCUGGCGGCGUGCUUAACACAUGCAAGUCGAACGAAAAGAGGGAAAGAGCUUGCUCUUUCCGGAAUUGAGUGGCAAACGGGUGAGUAACACGUAAACAACCUGCCUUCAGGAUGGGGACAACAGACGGAAACGACUGCUAAUACCGAAUAAGUUCCAAGAGCCGCAUGGCCCAUGGAAGAAAAGGUGGCCUCUACCUGUAAGCUAUCGCCUGAAGAGGGGUUUGCGUCUGAUUAG
RNAcentral lists this ribosomal RNA (253 nucleotides) under uncultured bacterium. RNAcentral's name for it is "partial 16S ribosomal RNA". It matches the Rfam family "Bacterial small subunit ribosomal RNA", at positions 17 to 244 of the family's 1533-position model. The record is from RNAcentral.